RNAcentral lists this ribosomal RNA (1119 nucleotides) under Triticum aestivum (bread wheat). RNAcentral's name for it is "partial small subunit ribosomal RNA". The record is from RNAcentral. Lineage: Eukaryota; Viridiplantae; Streptophyta; Magnoliopsida; Poales; Poaceae.
CCUCCAGACGACGAUCUGCUCUGGGAGAUCCUCCUCCGUCUCCCGCCGCUGCCGUCCUCCCUCCCGCGCGCCUCCGCAGUCUGCAAGCGGUGGCGAGGACUCGUCACCGACCCCGGAUUCCUCUGCAGCAUCCGCGACCACCACCGGAAGGAGGGGCCGCCCAUCCUCGGCUUCUUUGUAACAGAAUUUCUAGAGCAUUACCCGGUGGUCGUGUUCCACCCAAUCCUGGACCCUCCAGACAACGUCCCUCUGAGCAUCAACUUCGGAGGCUGCACCAUGCUCGGGUGCCGCCACGGCCGCGUCCUCAUCAUAGACGGUAAAAGGUGGGAGCUGGUCGUGUGCACCCCCAUCACCGGCGAGCAGCAGCGCGUGCCCAUCCCGACGGAGUUCAACUGGGGCUCCUUCAUGGGUUCGGUGAUGUGCGCUGCCAGCGACUGUGGCCACGUGCACGGCGCCUGUCAUUCGGGACCCUUUAACGUGGUCUUGGUGUCCGCCUACCUCGAGGAAAAAAUCGCAUGUGUGUAUUUCUCCGAGACUGGCGCAUGGGGUAAUCUCAUCUCGACGGUCGGUCCAUAUCAAACAUUUAUUGCCGGUUGUCCUGGGUUGCUUGCUGGCAGGACACUUUACUGGCUAUCCACGGAAGAUACCUUAAUAGAGUUUGAUUUGGAAGAGCAGAGUCUAGCUGUGGUCAGGGUGCCUCCAGGUACAAAGGAACUCCGCAAUUGUCAGAUCAUCCUGGCUGAGGAUGACGCUAUUGGCUUUGCCAUUUUGUCUUACCCGUAUUUCCAAAUGUGGCAGAGAAACACGAACUGUCACGGUGAUGGCACAUGGGUGCCGUGGAAAACCAUUCAAAUGCACAUCAUUCUUGGCCUCCCUCCCCAGGUUGAGUUACCAAUAAUGAAAACUAUAUUGUGCUAUGAUGAGGAUACCGAUACAAUUUUUUUGUCUGUGGAUAAGAAUGUAUACAUGGUUCAAUUCAAGUUGAUGCAAUCCAAGAGACUUUAUACAACCGAGAGUGUCUAUGGCUUCUAUCCUUUCAAGAGUUUCUACCCACCAGGUAAUUGCUUGUCCUUUUUUUAUAUCAUAGUCUUGGGAGUAAUGCGUUCACUAACAACUUGA